This 433-nucleotide ribosomal RNA is filed under the name uncultured Sphingomonas sp. Its description in RNAcentral is "bacterial SSU rRNA". It matches the Rfam family "Bacterial small subunit ribosomal RNA", at positions 29 to 507 of the family's 1533-position model. The record is from RNAcentral. Lineage: Bacteria; Pseudomonadati; Pseudomonadota; Alphaproteobacteria; Sphingomonadales; Sphingomonadaceae.
AACGAACGCUGGCGGCAUGCCUAACACAUGCAAGUCGAACGAAGCCUUCGGGUUUAGUGGCGCACGGGUGCGUAACGCGUGGGAAUCUGCCCUUUGGUUCGGAAUAACAGUUGGAAACGACUGCUAAUACCGGAUGAUGACGAAAGUCCAAAGAUUUAUCGCCAGAGGAUGAGCCCGCGUAGGAUUAGCUAGUUGGUGUGGUAAAGGCGCACCAAGGCGACGAUCCUUAGCUGGUCUGAGAGGAUGAUCAGCCACACUGGGACUGAGACACGGCCCAGACUCCUACGGGAGGCAGCAGUGGGGAAUAUUGGACAAUGGGCGAAAGCCUGAUCCAGCAAUGCCGCGUGAGUGAUGAAGGCCCUGGGGUUGUAAAGUUCUUUUACCCGGGAUGAUAAUGACAGUACCGGGAGAAUAAGCCCCGGCUAACUCCGUG